RNAcentral lists this ribosomal RNA (844 nucleotides) under uncultured bacterium. Its description in RNAcentral is "bacterial SSU rRNA". It matches the Rfam family "Bacterial small subunit ribosomal RNA", at positions 23 to 898 of the family's 1533-position model. The record is from RNAcentral.
CUCAGAAUCAACGCUGGCGGCGUGCCUAACACAUGCAAGUCGCACGAGAAAGGGUAGCAAUACCUGAGUAAAGUGGCGCACGGGUGAGUAACACGUGAAUGAUCUACCUCCGAGUGGGGAAUAACUGAGAGAAAUCUUGGCUAAUACCGCAUAAUACCCACGGGUCAAAGCAGCAAUGCGCUUGGAGAGGAGUUCGCGGCCGAUUAGCUAGUUGGCGGGGUAAUGGCCCACCAAGGCGAUGAUCGGUAUCCGGCCUGAGAGGGCGCACGGACACACUGGAACUGAAACACGGUCCAGACUCCUACGGGAGGCAGCAGUGGGGAAUUUUGCGCAAUGGGGGAAACCCUGACGCAGCAACGCCGCGUGGAGGAUGAAGUCCUUCGGGACGUAAACUCCUUUCGAUCGGGACGAUAAUGACGGUACCGGAAGAAGAAGCCCCGGCUAACUUCGUGCCAGCAGCCGCGGUAAUACGAGGGGGGCGAGCGUUGUUCGGAAUUAUUGGGCGUAAAGGGUGCGUAGGCGGUUUGGUAAGUCUUAUGUGAAAUCUAUGGGCUCAACUCAUAGACUGCAUGAGAAACUGCCGGGCUUGAGUGUGGGAGAGGUGAGUGGAAUUUCCGGUGUAGCGGUGAAAUGCGUAGAUAUCGGAAGGAACACCUGUGGCGAAAGCGGCUCACUGGACCACAACUGACGCUGAUGCACGAAAGCUAGGGGAGCAAACAGGAUUAGAUACCCUGGUAGUCCUAGCCCUAAACGAUGAUUGCUUGGUUUGACGGGUACCCAAUCCCGCCGUGCCGCAGCUAACGCGUUAAGCAAUCCGCCUGGGGAGUACGGUCGCAAGAUUAAA